GGAUAUAUAGCUCAAGUGGUAGAGUACAUGCUUAGCAUGCAGGAGGUUCCUGGAUUCAAUCCCCAGUACCUCCU
Molecule: transfer RNA, 74 nt
Filed under: Camelus bactrianus (Bactrian camel)
Lineage: Eukaryota; Metazoa; Chordata; Mammalia; Artiodactyla; Camelidae
Also listed under: 1 other name
Rfam family: tRNA
About the family: Transfer RNA (tRNA) molecules are approximately 80 nucleotides in length. Their secondary structure includes four short double-helical elements and three loops (D, anti-codon, and T loops).
Source: Rfam by way of RNAcentral